This 1857-nucleotide ribosomal RNA is filed under the name Alphaproteobacteria bacterium. RNAcentral describes it as "bacterial LSU rRNA". It matches the Rfam family "Bacterial large subunit ribosomal RNA", at positions 1 to 1875 of the family's 2925-position model. The record is from RNAcentral. Lineage: Bacteria; Pseudomonadati; Pseudomonadota; Alphaproteobacteria.
UCAAGCAUGAGAAGAGUAUUCGGUGGAUGCCUUGGCACACACAGGCGAUGAAGGACGUGAUAGGAUGCGAUAAGCUGCGGGGAGGUUCCAAUACCCUUUGAUCCGCAGAUUUCCGAAUGGGGCAACCCACUUUAAGUGAUCAGUGUUUUAGAGUUUGUUUGCAAAUUCUAAUCUCUGAUCACUAUUAUAAAGUAAUUUAAACUGAAUACAUAGGUUUAAAUAGCGAACCAGGUGAACUGAAAUAUCUAAGUAGCCUGAGGAAAAGAAAUCAAUUGAGACUCCGCUAGUAGUGACGAGCGAACGCGGACUAGACCAGUAGCUAUAGAAAAAUAAUUGGAAUCUGUUGGAAACCAGAGCCAUAGUAGGUGAUAGCCCUGUAUAAGUAAUAUAUUUAUAGUUCGUGAGUAAGGCGGGACACGUGAAAUCCUGUCUGAAUAUGGGGGGGCCACCCUCCAAGUCUAAGUACUCGUGUGUGACCGAUAGUGAACUAGUACCGUGAGGGAAAGGUGAAAAGCACCCCGACAAGGGGAAUGAAAUAGUACCUGAAACCGAAUACUUACAAGCAGUCGGAGGCUCGCAAGGGCUGACGGCGUACCUCUUGUAUAAUGGGUCAGCGACUUAGUGUAAGUGGCAAGCUUAAGCCGUUAGGUGUAGGCGCAGCGAAAGCGAGUGUUAAAAGCGCGUUAAGUCUCUUGCAUUAGACCCGAAACUUAGUGAUCUAGCCAUGGUCAGGCUGAAGGUGAGGUAACACUUGCUGGAGGGCCGAACUCACGUCUGUUGAAAAAGACGGGGAUGAACUGUGGCUAGGGGUGAAAGGCCAAUCAAACUGAGAUAUAGCUGGUUCUCCGCGAAAUCUAUUUAGGUAGAGCGUCAAGAUAAUACACUGUUGGGGGUAGAGCACUUAUUCGGCUAGGGGGUCCCAAAGACUUACCAAACCUAACCAAACUCCGAAUACCCGGGAGUAUAGCGUGGCAGACAGACGGCGGGUGCUAAGGUCCGUCGUCGAGAGGGAAACAGCCCUGACCAACAGCUAAGGUCCCCAAAUCGUAUCUAAGUGGGAAAGCAUGUGGGAAUCCCAAAACAACCAGGAAGUUGGCUUAGAAGCAGCCAUCCUUUAAAGAUAGCGUAAUAGCUCACUGAUCUAAUUAAGAGUUUCGGCGCCUAAGAUGUAUCGGGGCUAAAACUAUGUACCGAAAUUACGGAUAUGUUAUAUAACUUUGUGGCGAUUAGUAUUGAGUGGUCAGUAGUCAGCAAUUUGUUGACCUCGUUGACCACUGACCAUUUUGUACUAAUCGCCCCUUAUAUAAUAUGUGGUAGCGGAGCUCUCUGUAAGUCUGUGAAGGUGUAUCGUAAGGUAUGCUGGAGAUAUCAGAGGUGAGAAUGCUGACAUGAGUAACGAUCAGGGGAGCGAGAAACUCCCCCGCCGAAAUCCCAAGGUUUCCUGCUUAAAGCUAAUCUUAGCAGGGUUAGUCGGACCCUAAGGCGAGGCCGAAAGGCGUAGUCGAUGGAAAACAGGUUAAUAUUCCUGUACCAGUGUGGAUGUGACGCAUCUAGUAACUUGUUCUCUCUUAUUGGAUUGAGAGGGCCGGGAAUAGGUGCCAGGAAAUAGCCCACACAUAGACCGUACCUUAAACCGACACAGGUGGGAUGGUAGAGUAUACCAAGGUGUUUGAGAUAACGAUGCUGAAGGAACUAGGCAAUUUGCACUCGUAACUUCGGAAGAAGAGUGGCCUCUUUAUAGGCAACUAUAAUUAGGUGGCACAGAGCAGGGGGUGGCGACUGUUUAUUAAAAACACAGGGCUAUGCUAAGCGGUAUAACGCGAUGUAUAUGGUCUGACGCCUGCCCGGUGCCGGAAG